AUUGAACGCUGGCGGCAUGCCUUACACAUGCAAGUCGAACGGUAACGGGCCUUCGGGUGCCGACGAGUGGCGAACGGGUGAGUAAUGCAUUCGGAACGUACCUUUCAGUGGGGGAUAACGUAGCGAAAGUUACGCUAAUACCGCAUAUUCUGUGAGCCAGGAAAGCAGGGGAUUCGCAAGACCUUGCGCUGAUUGAGCGGCCGAUGUCAGAUUAGCUAGUUGGUGAGGUAAAGGCUCACCAAGGCGACGAUCUGUAGCGGGUCUGAGAGGAUGAUCCGCCACACUGGAACUGAGACACGGUCCAGACUCCUACGGGAGGCAGCAGUGGGGAAUUUUGGACAAUGGGCGCAAGCCUGAUCCAGCCAUGCCGCGUGAGUGAAGAA
This 383-nucleotide ribosomal RNA is filed under the name uncultured bacterium. RNAcentral describes it as "bacterial SSU rRNA". It matches the Rfam family "Bacterial small subunit ribosomal RNA", at positions 30 to 412 of the family's 1533-position model. The record is from RNAcentral.